GGAUUGUAGGUGUUGGAGAAAGGAUCAUAGCGUCUUUGCGGAGGUCCCGGAAAGCCUCUGACAGCAUCAACAUGUGCCGUUGAAUUGUCGUUAAGGAUUGGGCACAAAUCCGUCUGAUGUUCAGACGUAGUACAAUUUUCACACAGUUGGGUCAGAUUCUUCUUUUCUGUAAGCAUAUAUUGAACAAUAUUAGUAAGCUUAUCCAAUUUAUCUUCUAAGGAUGAAACGUUUACCCCAUUAACCCCUCUUGUGGGUUCUGAAUUUGGCCA
This 269-nucleotide long non-coding RNA is filed under the name Gossypium raimondii (Peruvian cotton). Its description in RNAcentral is "long non-coding RNA (GRAI_LNC010726)". The record is from RNAcentral. Lineage: Eukaryota; Viridiplantae; Streptophyta; Magnoliopsida; Malvales; Malvaceae.